Molecule: ribosomal RNA, 411 nt
Filed under: uncultured bacterium
Lineage: Bacteria
Description: bacterial SSU rRNA
Rfam family: Bacterial small subunit ribosomal RNA
Source: RNAcentral
AAUGGGGGAAACCCUGACGCAGCAACGCCGCGUGGGUGAUGAAGGCCUUCGGGUCGUAAAGCCCUGUCGGGAGGGAAGAAAUGAUUGAGGGUUAAUACCUCUUGAUCUUGACGGUACCUCCGAAGGAAGCACCGGCUAACUCCGUGCCAGCAGCCGCGGUAAUACGGAGGAUCCGAGCGUUAUCCGGAUUUACUGGGUUUAAAGGGUGCGUAGGCGGGCGCAUAGGUAAGCGGAGAAAUGCAGCGGCUCAACCGUUGAACUGCCGUUGAAACUGGGCGCCUUGGAUGCGGUCGAGGCCGGCGGAAUGCGUGGUGUAGCGGUGAAAUGCUUAGAUAUCACGCAGAACGCCAAUUGCGAAGGCAGCUGGCCGGGCCGCAAUCGACGCUGAGGCACGAAAGCGUGGGGAUCAAA